Sus scrofa (pig) is the source of this 72-nucleotide transfer RNA. It matches the Rfam family "tRNA". From Rfam's summary of the family: Transfer RNA (tRNA) molecules are approximately 80 nucleotides in length. Their secondary structure includes four short double-helical elements and three loops (D, anti-codon, and T loops). NCBI's taxonomy places the organism in Eukaryota, Metazoa, Chordata, Mammalia, Artiodactyla, Suidae. The record is from Rfam.
UCCCUGGUGGUCUAGUGGUUAGGACUCUGUGCUUUCACCUCUGUGGCCCAGGUUCAAUUCCUUAUCUGGGAA